Macrobrachium nipponense is the source of this 1263-nucleotide long non-coding RNA. RefSeq lists it as uncharacterized. The record is from RefSeq and is a predicted model, not a curated record. The transcript is spliced from 3 exons. NCBI's taxonomy places the organism in Eukaryota, Metazoa, Arthropoda, Malacostraca, Decapoda, Palaemonidae.
CUUGCUGGCCCUGGCAUCGGCGAAGAGAGUAGGGGAACUUCAUGGUCUUUCCUAUGAUGUACGACACUCCAGGGGAUGGGGAUCCGUGACGCUCGAUUUCGUCCCGAACUUCGUUGCGAAGACUCAGAAACCGUCAGUCCCUGAUGACAGGUUCGAGUCAUUCACGAUUCCCUCCCUAUUGGACUUCACCGAUAAUGAUGCGGAUGAGAUGCUGCUUUGUCCUGUGAGGGCGCUACGGCGCUAUCUGAAGAGAACUCGACACCUCAGGCCUGAGUGUCGACGCCUCUUCGUUAGCACCGGGUCACCAAGAAAGAAGUAUCCAAGAACACUCUUUCAUUCUGGCUGCGUGAGGUCAUCAGGAGGGCGUAUGAGGCUGAUGGUAGUGACGACAUCCGUACGUCCCGUCCGAGAGCUCACGAAGUCAGAAGUAUUGGCCCCUCGUUGGCGUUUCGCAAGAACUUCUCCGUGGCGCAGGUCCUGAAGGCAGGGGUCUGGUCUAACCAGACUACCUUUACGUCCUUCUACCUUCGGGAUAUUGCCCACAGGUCCUUGGAUACCUUUUCCUUGGGACCCGUGGUGGCUGCUCAACAAGUUGUGUAGCUAACCCAGACCCUCGCAGGCUGAACAGCAUCGAGUCCUGUGUGACUGUGUGGAUGGAUGUGUGAGUGGAGUGAGUGACUGGCUCUCUCUUCCCAUCUUUCCUUCCCUCUACCUGUGGGCAGAGGGCCAUGGUCGUCACUACGCUGGAUGAGGACGAGAUGCAGGUGAGCUAUAUGACAGAGCCCCAUCCUAUCCCUUUCACUAGGGAUAGGAGCAGAAUAUCCACCACUUCCUUCUACAAGGGGGGGAAGUGGAUGCCUACAAGAGUCAAACCCAUGACUUAUAUUUGCUCCUGUACAGGAACAAGUUCUUGCAUUGCUGGUACUAAGAGAUGCGCAUGCCCCUCUCUUAGUACUCGGUCCAGAGGUCUGACCAUUGAUCCUGCGGUGCACACCCCGAUCAAUCGGACAGAGGCUUGGAUCCCUCCCUCGCUCUUACGACCAGGGAGGCUUCCAAGGUUGGGCGAACACCAGUCUGUUCACAAAAGACUCAGAUUCCACCCACCAAGAAGUGAGUCUUCCUAUUGUAAAAGGACCGAAGGUUUGUAUGCCGUGUCGGAACAAAUGACAAUUUGUCCAAAAUUGCAUUUUUCCUAACUAUACAAACCUGAGGUCCUUUUACACAUAGCCCCACCUCAUGCCACCCCUCACUCUGCAGUUUUUG